AACGGACGCUGGCGGCAUGCCUAACACAUGCAAGUCGAACGAGACCUUCGGGUCUAGUGGCGCACGGGUGCGUAACGCGUGGGAACCUGCCCUUAGGUUCGGAAUAACUCCCCGAAAGGGGUGCUAAUACCGGAUAAUGUCUUCGGACCAAAGAUUUAUCGCCUUUGGAUGGGCCCGCGUUGGAUUAGCUAGUUGGUAGGGUAAAAGCCUAUCAAGGCGACGAUCCAUAGCUGGUCUGAGAGGAUGAUCAGCCACACUGGGACUGAGACACGGCCCAGACUCCUACGGGAGGCAGCAGUGGGGAAUAUUGGACAAUGGGCGAAAGCCUGAUCCAGCAAUGCCGCGUGAGUGAUGAAGGCCUUAGGGUUGUAAAGCUCUUUUACCCGGGAUGAUAAUGACAGUACCGGGAGAAUAAGCUCCGGCUAACUCCGUG
Molecule: ribosomal RNA, 433 nt
Filed under: uncultured bacterium
Lineage: Bacteria
Description: partial 16S ribosomal RNA
Rfam family: Bacterial small subunit ribosomal RNA
Source: RNAcentral